RNAcentral lists this ribosomal RNA (253 nucleotides) under uncultured bacterium. Its description in RNAcentral is "partial 16S ribosomal RNA". It matches the Rfam family "Bacterial small subunit ribosomal RNA", at positions 524 to 776 of the family's 1533-position model. The record is from RNAcentral.
UACGUAGGGGGCUAGCGUUGUCCGGAAUCAUUGGGCGUAAAGAGCGUGUAGGCGGUCCGGUAAGUCCGUUGUGAAAGUCAAGGGCUCAACCCUUGAAUGCCGGCGGAUACUGUCGGGCUAGAGUCCGGAAGAGGCGAGUGGAAUUCCCGGUGUAGCGGUGAAAUGCGCAGAUAUCGUUUGGAACGCCAAAGGUGAAAACAGACAGCUGGGAGUGUGCUGACGCUGAGACACGAAAGCCAGGGGAGCGAACGGG